RNAcentral lists this ribosomal RNA (415 nucleotides) under uncultured bacterium. RNAcentral describes it as "partial 16S ribosomal RNA". It matches the Rfam family "Bacterial small subunit ribosomal RNA", at positions 355 to 762 of the family's 1533-position model. The record is from RNAcentral.
UGGGGAAUUUUGGACAAUGGGCGCAAGCCUGAUCCAGCCAUGCCGCGUGCAGGAAGAAGGCCUUCGGGUUGUAAACUGCUUUUGUCAGGGAAGAAAUCCUUUGGGUUAAUACCUCGAAGGGAUGACGGUACCUGAAGAAUAAGCACCGGCUAACUACGUGCCAGCAGCCGCGGUAAUACGUAGGGUGCGAGCGUUAAUCGGAAUUACUGGGCGUAAAGCGUGCGCAGGCGGCUUUGCAAGACAGAUGUGAAAUCCCCGGGCUCAACCUGGGAACUGCAUUUGUGACUGCAAGGCUAGAGUGCGGCAGAGGGAGAUGGAAUUCCGCGUGUAGCAGUGAAAUGCGUAGAUAUGCGGAGGAACACCGAUGGCGAAGGCAAUCUCCUGGGCCUGCACUGACGCUCAUGCACGAAAGCGU